RNAcentral lists this ribosomal RNA (687 nucleotides) under uncultured bacterium. Its description in RNAcentral is "bacterial SSU rRNA". It matches the Rfam family "Bacterial small subunit ribosomal RNA", at positions 120 to 823 of the family's 1533-position model. The record is from RNAcentral.
AGGAACCUGCCUCAAAGAGGGGGACAACAGUUGGAAACGACUGCUAAUACCGCAUAAGCCCACGACCCGGCAUCGGGAAGAGGGAAAAGGAGCAAUCCGCUUUGAGAUGGCCUCGCGUCCGAUUAGCUAGUUGGUGAGGUAACGGCCCACCAAGGCAACGAUCGGUAGCCGGACUGAGAGGUUGAACGGCCACAUUGGGACUGAGACACGGCCCAGACUCCUACGGGAGGCAGCAGUGGGGAAUAUUGCACAAUGGGGGAAACCCUGAUGCAGCGACGCCGCGUGGAGGAAGAAGGUCUUCGGAUUGUAAACUCCUGUUGUUGAGGAAGAUAAUGACGGUACUCAACAAGGAAGUGACGGCUAACUACGUGCCAGCAGCCGCGGUAAAACGUAGGUCACAAGCGUUGUCCGGAAUUACUGGGUGUAAAGGGAGCGCAGGAGGGAAGACAAGUUGGAAGUGAAAUCCAUGGGCUCAACCCAUGAACUGCUUUCAAAACUGUUUUUCUUGAGUAGUGCAGAGGUAGGCGGAAUUCCCGGUGUAGCGGUGGAAUGCGUAGAUAUCGGGAGGAACACCAGUGGCGAAGGCGGCCUACUGGGCACCAACUGACGCUGAGGCUCGAAAGUGUGGGUAGCAAACAGGAUUAGAUACCCUGGUAGUCCACACCGUAAACGAUGAUUACUAGGUGU